Molecule: transfer-messenger RNA, 365 nt
Filed under: Paenibacillaceae
Lineage: Bacteria; Bacillati; Bacillota; Bacilli; Caryophanales
Also listed under: 1 other name
Description: Paenibacillus_Z sp900110075 Standard tmRNA
Rfam family: transfer-messenger RNA
About the family: Bacterial tmRNA, also known as 10Sa RNA or SsrA, is named for its dual tRNA and mRNA-like properties. Its role is to liberate the mRNA from a stalled ribosome. To accomplish this part of the tmRNA is used as a reading frame that ends in a translation stop signal.
Source: RNAcentral
GGGGGCGUUUAUGGAUUCGACGGGGAUAGUUCGAGCAUGGGUUGCGGGUAGCAGGGAGUCGUCUGCUUCAUCAACGCUAAAGCCAAUUAAAUGGCAAAACACAAAACAACUACGCUUUAGCAGCUUAAUAACCUGUUAGCGUGCUCCUACCUAGCAUCGCCCAUGUGACUAGACUAGGGGCUAACAUGUAGUGGGAUACGCCGCUCGGUCUCCGCCUGGGGUCGACGGAAGAAGAUAAUCAGGCUGACCCAACGCGUAGUCGGUUACGGGACGACGCUCGGGUGACAUCAAUACCGUGACUACACCCGUAGAAGCCUGUGUGGCGUUGUCUUCGGACAGGGGUUCAAAUCCCCUCGCCUCCACCA